UGAAAUCCCCGGGCUCAACCUGGGAACUGCAUUCGAAACUGGCAGGCUAGAGUCUUGUAGAGGGGGGUAGAAUUCCAGGUGUAGCGGUGAAAUGCGUAGAGAUCUGGAGGAAUACCGGUGGCGAAGGCGGCCCCCUGGACAAAGACUGACGCUCAGGUGCGAAAGCGUGGGGAGCAAACAGGAUUAGAUACCCUGGUAGUCCACGCCGUAAACGAUGUCGAUUUGGAGGUUGUGCCCUUGAGGCGUGGCUUCCGGAGCUAACGCGUUAAAUCGACCGCCUGGGGAGUACGGCCGCAAGGUUAAAACUCAAAUGAAUUGACGGGGGCCCGCACAAGCGGUGGAGCAUGUGGUUUAAUUCGAUGCAACGCGAAGAACCUUACCUGGUCUUGACAUCCACAGAACUUUCCAGAGAUGGAUUGGUGCCUUCGGGAACUGUGAGACAGGUGCUGCAUGGCUGUCGUCAGCUCGUGUUGUGAAAUGUUGGGUUAAGUCCCGCAACGAGCGCAACCCUUAUCCUUUGUUGCCAGCGGUCCGGCCGGGAACUCAAAGGAGACUGCCAGUGAUAAACUGGAGGAAGGUGGGGAUGACGUCAAGUCAUCAUGGCCCUUACGACCAGGGCUACACACGUGCUACAAUGGCAUAUACAAAGAGAAGCGACCUCGCGAGAGCAAGCGGACCUCAUAAAGUAUGUCGUAGUCCGGAUUGGAGUCUGCAACUCGACUCCAUGAAGUCGGAAUCGCUAGUAAUCGUAGAUCAGAAUGCUACGGUGAAUACGUUCCCGGGCCUUGUACACACCGCCCGUCACACCAUGGGAGUGGGUUGCAAAAGAAGUAGGUAGCUUAACCUUCGGGA
This 852-nucleotide ribosomal RNA is filed under the name Klebsiella pneumoniae subsp. pneumoniae. RNAcentral's name for it is "bacterial SSU rRNA". It matches the Rfam family "Bacterial small subunit ribosomal RNA", at positions 595 to 1447 of the family's 1533-position model. Lineage: Bacteria; Pseudomonadati; Pseudomonadota; Gammaproteobacteria; Enterobacterales; Enterobacteriaceae. The record is from RNAcentral.